RNAcentral lists this ribosomal RNA (759 nucleotides) under Escherichia coli O25b:H4-ST131. RNAcentral's name for it is "partial 23S ribosomal RNA". It matches the Rfam family "Bacterial large subunit ribosomal RNA", at positions 2184 to 2925 of the family's 2925-position model. Lineage: Bacteria; Pseudomonadati; Pseudomonadota; Gammaproteobacteria; Enterobacterales; Enterobacteriaceae. The record is from RNAcentral.
AGCCGACCUUGAAAUACCACCCUUUAAUGUUUGAUGUUCUAACGUGGGCCCCUUACCGGGGUUGCGGACAGUGUCUGGUGGGUAGUUUGACUGGGGCGGUCUCCUCCUAAAGAGUAACGGAGGAGCACGAAGGUUGGCUAAUCCUGGUCGGACAUCAGGAGGUUAGUGCAAUGGCAUAAGCCAGCUUGACUGCGAGCGUGACGGCGCGAGCAGGUGCGAAAGCAGGUCAUAGUGAUCCGGUGGUUCUGAAUGGAAGGGCCAUCGCUCAACGGAUAAAAGGUACUCCGGGGAUAACAGGCUGAUACCGCCCAAGAGUUCAUAUCGACGGCGGUGUUUGGCACCUCGAUGUCGGCUCAUCACAUCCUGGGGCUGAAGUAGGUCCCAAGGGUAUGGCUGUUCGCCAUUUAAAGUGGUACGCGAGCUGGGUUUAGAACGUCGUGAGACAGUUCGGUCCCUAUCUGCCGUGGGCGCUGGAGAACUGAGGGGGGCUGCUCCUAGUACGAGAGGACCGGAGUGGACGCAUCACUGGUGUUCGGGUUGUCAUGCCAAUGGCACUGCCCGGUAGCUAAAUGCGGAAGAGAUAAGUGCUGAAAGCAUCUAAGCACGAAACUUGCCCCGAGAUGAGUUCUCCCUGACUCCUUGAGAGUCCUGAAGGAACGUUGAAGACGACGACGUUGAUAGGCCGGGUGUGUAAGCGCAGCGAUGCGUUGAGCUAACCGGUACUAAUGAACCGUGAGGCUUAACCUUACAACGCCGAAG